AUUGAACGCUGGCGGCAGGCCUAACACAUGCAAGUCGAACGGUAACAGGAAGCAGCUUGCUGCUUUGCUGACGAGUGGCGGACGGGUGAGUAAUGUCUGGGAAACUGCCCGAUGGAGGGGGAUAACUACUGGAAACGGUAGCUAAUACCGCAUAACGUCGCAAGACCAAAGAGGGGGACCUUAGGGCCUCUUGCCAUCGGAUGUGCCCAGAUGGGUUUAGCUAGUAGGUGGGGUAACGGCUCACCUAGGCGACGAUCCCUAGCUGGUCUGAGAGGAUGACCAGCCACACUGGAACUGAGACACGGUCCAGACUCCUACGGGAGGCAGCAGUGGGGAAUAUUGCACAAUGGGCGCAAGCCUGAUGCAGCCAUGCCGCGUGUAUGAAGAAGGCCUUCGGGUUGUAGAGUACUUUCAGCGGGGAGGAAGGGAGUAAAGUUAAUACCUUUGCUCAUUGACGUUACCCGCAGAAGAAGCACCGGCUAACUACGUG
Molecule: ribosomal RNA, 490 nt
Filed under: uncultured bacterium
Lineage: Bacteria
Description: partial 16S ribosomal RNA
Rfam family: Bacterial small subunit ribosomal RNA
Source: RNAcentral